This 119-nucleotide ribosomal RNA is filed under the name Nannospalax galili (Upper Galilee mountains blind mole rat). The record is from RNAcentral. Lineage: Eukaryota; Metazoa; Chordata; Mammalia; Rodentia; Spalacidae.
GUCUAAGGCCAUACCUCCUUGAACUUGCCUGAUCUCCUUUGAUCUGGGAAGGUAAGCAGGGUUGGGCCUGGUUAGUACUAGGAUCGGAGACCACAUGGGAAUACAGGUUGCUGUAGGCU